This 1315-nucleotide ribosomal RNA is filed under the name metagenome. RNAcentral describes it as "bacterial SSU rRNA". It matches the Rfam family "Bacterial small subunit ribosomal RNA", at positions 195 to 1498 of the family's 1533-position model. The record is from RNAcentral.
CAAGGUUGAAAGAUGGUUUCGGCUAUCACUUUAGGAUGGACCCGCGGUGCAUUAGUUAGUUGGUGAGGUAAAGGCUCACCAAGACCGUGAUGCAUAGCCGACCUGAGAGGGUAAUCGGCCACACUGGGACUGAGACACGGCCCAGACUCCUACGUGAGGCAGCAGUAGGGAAUCUUCCACAAUGGACGAAAGUCUGAUGGAGCAACGCCGCGUGAGUGAAGAAGGUUUUCGGAUCGUAAAACUCUGUUGUUGGAGAAGAACGUAUUUGAUAGUAACUGAUCAGGUAGUGACGGUAUCCAACCAGAAAGCCACGGCUAACUACGUGCCAGCAGCCGCGGUAAUACGUAGGUGGCAAGCGUUGUCCGGAUUUAUUGGGCGUAAAGCGAGCGCAGGCGGUUUCUUAAGUCUGAUGUGAAAGCCUUCGGCUCAACCAAAGAAGUGCAUCGGAAACUGGGAAACUUGAGUGCAGAAGAGGACAGUGGAACUCCAUGUGUAGCGGUGAAAUGCGUAGAUAUAUGGAAGAACACCAGUGGCGAAGGCGGCUGUCUGGUCUGUAACUGACGCUGAGGCUCGAAAGCAUGGGUAGCAAACAGGAUUAGAUACCCUGGUAGUCCAUGCCGUAAACGAUGAGUGCUAGGUGUUGGAGGGUUUCCGCCCUUCAGUGCCGCAGCUAACGCAUUAAGCACUCCGCCUGGGGAGUACGACCGCAAGGUUGAAACUCAAAGGAAUUGACGGGGGCCCGCACAAGCGGUGGAGCAUGUGGUUUAAUUCGAAGCAACGCGAAGAACCUUACCAGGUCUUGACAUCCUUUGACCACUCUAGAGAUAGAGCUUUCCCUUCGGGGACAAAGUGACAGGUGGUGCAUGGUUGUCGUCAGCUCGUGUCGUGAGAUGUUGGGUUAAGUCCCGCAACGAGCGCAACCCUUAUUACUAGUUGCCAGCAUUUAGUUGGGCACUCUAGUGAGACUGCCGGUGACAAACUGGAGGAAGGUGGGGACGACGUCAAAUCAUCAUGCCCCUUAUGACCUGGGCUACACACGUGCUACAAUGGAUGGUACAACGAGUCGCGAGACCGCGAGGUUUAGCUAAUCUCUUAAAACCAUUCUCAGUUCGGAUUGUAGGCUGCAACUCGCCUACAUGAAGCCGGAAUCGCUAGUAAUCGCGGAUCAGCAUGCCGCGGUGAAUACGUUCCCGGGCCUUGUACACACCGCCCGUCACACCAUGAGAGUUUGUAACACCCAAAGCCGGUGAGGUAACCUUCGGGAGCCAGCCGUCUAAGGUGGGACAGAUGAUUAGGGUGAAGUCGUAACAAGGUA